RNAcentral lists this small RNA (1130 nucleotides) under Pan troglodytes (chimpanzee). Its description in RNAcentral is "retained intron". The record is from RNAcentral. Lineage: Eukaryota; Metazoa; Chordata; Mammalia; Primates; Hominidae.
GGCUGUGCCAGGUGCACAUUUAGCACCCCUUGCCUUCUCUAGGAGCCGCUCCUAGCUUGCCUUAUCACAUCCACGUGACCCCUCAGAGCACAGCAGCUUCUGAUUCUCCAUCCUAUUUUCUUCUCUUGACUGAUAUAUUUGGGCACUUCUAGGGAAUUCAGAAACCAAAGGAAGGGGGGAAGUGCUGGCUUUUGCUCCUGCCCAGCUGAAAGUCUUGAAAACAGUUCAGUAAUUCUGGGCAGGUUUAUCUCCUUAAAUUAAAAUCCAAUAUGGGCCCCUCUGUACUUAACAUUCCAAAUGCUCAUUCCAAACACUUUGCCAACGAAGGCAAACAGUAGAGAAGUUAAAUACAGUGCUGCCCUUGAGGCUCUCCAAGGGAAAGGUGAAUGAAUAUUCUCCAGGCCCUCUGCUUAUUCCUCUCUGCCUAUUGUGAAGGCAAUCAGGCCAGACUAUUGAGGGCAUCUGGCAGCAGGACUCAGGCAGGUAUGAAGUAGCCAGCCACAAGUGUGAAAAGGAAGAGUGCUGAAACUGCCUAGUCAUGCGAUAUCCCUAAUGCACUGUGCUUUCUUCCCUCAAGAACCACCCCUUCUGGUUCCGCUGCAUGUACAUGCUGAUCUGGGGCAAGUUUGUGCUGUACAAAUAUGUCACCUGUUGGCUGGUCACAGAAGGAGUAUGCAUUUUGACGGGCCUGGGCUUCAAUGGCUUUGAAGAAAAGGGCAAGGCAAAGUGGGAUGCCUGUGCCAACAUGAAGGUGUGGCUCUUUGAAACAAACCCCCGCUUCACUGGCACCAUUGCCUCAUUCAACAUCAACACCAACGCCUGGGUGGCCCGGUGAGCUGCUGGUGGGGAGCCUGGACCCUGGUUCCUUCCUUCCACUGUCUUCCCAGAUGGGAGGGCAGGGGUGUACCAUGUCACCCCUAUGUGUCUUUCCCACCUGGGCAGAACCCCCUGUCGCUCACAAUGACUUUGACCCCCACCUAUACCCCCCCGCAAAAAAACCAUUACUGUCAUAUUUGAAAAAAAGGCAAGAUAUAAAAAUGCGUUAAGACCUGGGUGUUACUCCAGCUCUGCCAAUGGACUUAUGUCCUCCACUGCCCUGUUUAUCAACAGCUUUACUUGUUUGUCCCCAC